RNAcentral lists this ribosomal RNA (137 nucleotides) under uncultured eukaryote. RNAcentral describes it as "partial 18S ribosomal RNA". It matches the Rfam family "Eukaryotic small subunit ribosomal RNA", at positions 1299 to 1458 of the family's 1831-position model. The record is from RNAcentral.
UCGUGGAGUGAUUUGUCUGCUUAAUUGCGAUAACGAACGAGACCUUAACCUGCUAAAUAGUCAGGCUAGCUUUGGCUGGUCGCUGGCUUCUUAGAGGGACUAUCGGCUCAAGCCGAAGGAAGUUUGAGGCAAUAACA